Molecule: long non-coding RNA, 3626 nt
Organism: Haplochromis burtoni (Burton's mouthbrooder)
Lineage: Eukaryota; Metazoa; Chordata; Actinopteri; Cichliformes; Cichlidae
Exons: 2
Source: RefSeq, a predicted model, not a curated record
ACUGAUAGUGAACUGUGUUUGGAGUGCAAUAUAUGAUUUUCCAUUUAUAAUAUGUUCCAUACUUAAUCCUUUUGGAGCUUUUUAGGUUGUUAGGCAGGAUAAUGGUAUCACAUUGAAUUUAAGGCGUUAAAAAUACACAGUAACUGAUGCUCAUGUUAACAAAUAAAUAAAAAUUUUAAUGAGGAGCCACCAAAUAAAGUAUUUGGAGUAAUGCUCAGAAGUUAUUUAAACAGGUAAUAGUUGGUAGACAUGUUAUUAACCUUGUGAGAAAAUCUGUAGCUUUUUUUUUUUGGUACAGAGCCAUCAUUAAGGUUCCCAAAUCACUUUUUUUCCAAAUACAAUUUCUUAUCAAAAUGCCUGAAAAAAGAUCUGUUGCAGUAUGUGAGUGCUCAGGGGUAAUAAAGAUCAGGUGUAAAGAAUAAAUUAAUAAGACUUAUUUAUGCUUUACUUACAGGGACAUUUGACUAGAACAGAGCUGGAGGCAAAUCCAUGACGGAUAGUGUUCCACUCUGUGUUUUUCUAUCCAGGUAUGAAUUUACUGCACUGGCAGUGUGUUUGGGAUCAUUGUAAGGCUGAAAAAUGAAGCUGUUGCCAAUCAGACCCUUACCAGAUGAUACUGCAUGCUGGAACAAAUCUGACGGUCAGGGCCUAUUAUAUGCCACAGCCUAAAGGCAACUGAGUUGCAGAGGCUGGAGUGACCACUGGCUAUCUACUUACAGGGUGGUGGGUCUCAGAGGACAACUCCUAACUCUGUUGAAGUCGACGUGUGGAGUGCAACUGGCAUUGUGGCAUAGCUUGCUCUGGCCUUGGACUGUGUGUUUUUACUUGAUCUGCCAAUGGGACACUGGGCUGUUUAAUCCUUUACCUUUUUGAUUGUGUUAAUAAAUUAUCUUUUUGAAUUUUAUUGACUGUCAUCUUUUUGCUCACGGCUGAGGAGGUUGGUCAGACCUAGAAUCUUUUUGUGUGUGUUACAGACUGAGACAUGGAUGAAGUUUCAGAAGGCUCCUCACAUGGAACAUCAGUGACUGGCACUGUGACUUUCACAAACGUCUUUCUCACUGGGAAGAACAUCAGGCAUUGACAGACUUUCGGAAGAAGGUUCUUCACUGGGAAGAACAUCAGAAUCAGAAUCUUUUGAAUGCAACCCCGUUCAGUGCAAAUGAAAAGAGCACACCUUUAAGAGGGAAAAAAGUAUACAUGUACAAUAAAUUAAAAAAUAAAUAAAUAAAUAUAGUGUAUACAAAAGUAUAUAAGAAUGAACAAGUGAAAAUGCAAUUGUCGUACAGUGAUUAGUCCUUUAGAAUAUAUUGCACAGUUAAAAGUUUGUAUUUUCACAGUGGUUUAUCCCUGAGUAUAUUUGUUAAUGCAACAGUCCCGGUGUAUGUGCUGUUUCUCAGUCUGUUUGUUUUGGCUUUUAUUGUCGUGUACCGUGUAACGACGUGUCGUGUCGUUACCUGAGGGUAACAAGUGGAAUAGGUGACAGGUGGGGUGGGAUGUAUCCUUCAGGAUGCCGCAGGCUUUCCUGUGGCAGCGGGACCUGUACAGCUCCUCCAGAGAGUGAAGAGCAUAACUGAUGAUUCUCUGUGCUACCUUUUCCUGAGCAGUACAAAACACACUGGGAUGCAAUAUGUCAAUGUGCUUUCAAUGGAGUCGCUGCUGUGCCUUUUAAAUCAUAGCUGUAGUGUUUGUUUUCCAGGUUAGGUCAUCACCCAGGUUCAGGCCCAGGAACUUGAAGGCAGAGUCCCUCUCCACACAGUCCCCAUUUAUGUGUAUGGGCUGAGGGUCAGAUUUGUUCCUUCUGAGGUCAACAAUUAUUUCUUUGUUUUUUGUGGCUGCACCAUGAUGACAGUUUUUCCACUUCGUCCCUGUAUGCAGACUUAUUUCCCGCCGUGAUAAGCCCGAUUACAGUUGUGUCAUCCACAAACUUCACAAUAGUGUUGUACAGGUGGAUGGUGUUGCAGUAUAUAGGGUGUACAGCAGAGGACUUUGCACACAUCCCUGAAGGGGAGCCGGUCUUGAGGCUGAGUGCUGAGGAUAGGCGGGGCCCUACUUGGACUCUCUAUGGGCGGUCACUGAGAAAGUCCUUGAUCCAGAGGCAGAGGUCGUGCAAUUCGGUUACCAGCAUGGCAGGGAUUAUGGUGUUAAAAGCCGAGCUGAAAUAAAAAAAAAAGAAGCCUGACGUCACUGUCCUUUUGUUCUAAAUGAAUUAGGGUUGUCAGGCUGUGGAUAUGGCAUCUUCUGUUGAUCUGUUCUUCAUGUAUGCAAAUUGGUGGGAAUCGAAUGUGGCUGGGAGUCCUCGAAUGAUCUGAGUUCUGACCAGUUUCUCCAGACACUUCAAGAUGACUGGAGUAAGAGCCUCUGGCCGGAAAUCGUUUAGGCACUGGAUGGUAGUUUUCUUUGGAAUGUGGAUGAUGGUAGAGGACUUCUGUCAGGGUGGAACGGUGGCCUGUGUUAAGGACAGGUUGAAUAUUUUAGUAAAGACUCCUGUGAAUGUCAGAUGUGACUUACUGAAAGGAAGUAUGGCCUCUAGAAAUUUAAGGAGGAUUUGGGAACUCUGUCCCUCAUUUUAUUAAUUACAUUCACUGCCCACACUUAAAACAGAAAACACGUAUACAGUGCAGUUUUGUUUAGAGGUUAUGUGAACAUAAUGAAAAAAAAAACCCCUCCAAAUUAUAAUUCUUGUGAGUUUUAAAGUCUUACCAGUUUCAGAAGAGGUUUGGCUUCUUCUUCCUCAAAAUCCUCUAAUUCAAACUCCCAAAGCCUUCAAAAGAAAAUAACAGCAUUUAAACUCCAUUACAAACAGACUUUCAGGUGUGAGGUGGAUGGUCUGAAAAGCUGACAUUAAAGUAUAAAAAACUGCUCUUCCUCAAAUGACCAAUUAAAGCCUACUCCGAAAUCAAGUCAUUUCCCUUGUACUUCUGUUGUUAAUAUGCACAAUAUGACAACAGAAGUUGUCAUGAUCCUGUGUCUUCACCCAGUGUUUUCAGUUUUGGGCUUUCAAAUUCUGUUUGACAUUCUCUGUCUAGAAUAUUUAGGUUAUGUUCUUGACCUUUGUUGCUUUGUAUUUAUUCCCUUAUUUCAGGUAUCAGCCUUCCCCUGUGUUCCCCUUUCCUUGUCAAGUUUCCAUCCCUGUUUGUGAUUUUGUUACUUUGUUUUAUUUUUGCCUCUUGCCUUUUGUAUGUCAUUUUCACUUUAGCUCCCUUUUUCUAGUUAACCUUGAUUUGUUCCUGCCAUGUUUCCCACCUGUUCUCCCUUAGCCUCAUCAUGUGCUAUGUAUAUAUGGGUUGUGUCCCAAUCCAGCGAUCUGUGUAUUUAAGCCCUGUGUUUCUCUGUGUCCGUGUCGCGAUCUACCAUCAUAUAUGCUGUGUGUUCUGUAUGCUCGUGUAAGUUAUUGGAAUUCUUAAUUUUGUUCUGUUUGAGUUCACGUUUGUCUCCGGAGUCUGCACUUUGGGUCCUUUUCCUGCCUGCACACAGCCUUCACAUGACACAUUCCUGUUCUUCCUAUGUCUUGAGUAGGGAUGGAUAUUAAUAAUAAUGAAUAAUAAUAGUAAUUCUUUUUCAAUACUUACAGAGCAGGAAAGAAGAUUUGCAAGUGAGCUAUGUAGAAGCUUUUGUUUUGUGAUUAG